RNAcentral lists this small nuclear RNA (20 nucleotides) under Arabidopsis thaliana (thale cress). RNAcentral describes it as "snRNA_03401". Lineage: Eukaryota; Viridiplantae; Streptophyta; Magnoliopsida; Brassicales; Brassicaceae. The record is from RNAcentral.
AGUUUUCCCGCCAAAACCGU